Molecule: unclassified non-coding RNA, 358 nt
Filed under: soil metagenome
Description: partial contains 5.8S ribosomal RNA, internal transcribed spacer 2, and large subunit ribosomal RNA
Rfam family: 5.8S ribosomal RNA (bases 1-120)
Source: RNAcentral
GAUGAAGAACGUAGCGGAAUGCGAUAAGUAAUGUGAAUUGCAGAAUUCGGUGAAUCAUCGAAUCUUUGAACGCACAUUGCGCCCGCCAGUAUUCUGGCGGGCAUGCCUGUCCGAGCGUCAUUUCAACCCUCGAACCCCUCCGGGGGGUCGGCGUUGGGGACCUCGGGAGCCCCUAAGACGGGAUCCCGGCCCCGAAAUACAGUGGCGGUCUCGCCGCAGCCUCUCCUGCGCAGUAGUUUGCACAACUCGCACCGGGAGCGCGGCGCGUCCACGUCCGUAAAACACCCAACUUCUGAAAUGUUGACCUCGGAUCAGGUAGGAAUACCCGCUGAACUUAAGCAUAUCAAUAAGCGGAGGA